UUUAAUUCGAUGAUACGCGAGGAACCUUACCUAGGCUAGAAUGCGCGUGACCGACUCAGAGAUGGGUCUUUCCUUCGGGACACAAAGCAAGGUGCUGCAUGGCCGUCGUCAGCUCGUGCCGUGAGGUGUUGGGUUAAGUCCCGCAACGAGCGCAACCCCUAUGGUUAGUUGCCAGCACGUAAUGGUGGGGACUCUAGCCAGACUGCCUGCGCAAGCAGUGAGGAAGGCGGGGACGACGUCAGGUCAUCAUGGCCCUUACGCCUAGGGCGACACACGUGCUACAAUGGCCGGUACAGCGGGUAGCUACACGGCGACGUGAUGCCAAUCUCUGUAAAGCCGGUCUCAGUUCGGAUUGGAGUCUGCAACUCGACUCCAUGAAGCUGGAAUCACUAGUAAUCGCGCAUCAGCCAUGGCG
RNAcentral lists this ribosomal RNA (415 nucleotides) under uncultured bacterium. Its description in RNAcentral is "bacterial SSU rRNA". It matches the Rfam family "Bacterial small subunit ribosomal RNA", at positions 945 to 1359 of the family's 1533-position model. The record is from RNAcentral.